RNAcentral lists this ribosomal RNA (21 nucleotides) under Peltaster fructicola. RNAcentral describes it as "partial 18S ribosomal RNA". The record is from RNAcentral. Lineage: Eukaryota; Fungi; Ascomycota; Dothideomycetes.
GUGACCUGCGGAGGGAUCAUU